AUACGACCAUACCCACUGGAGAACUCGGGAUCCCGUCCGCUCUCCCUUAGAUAAGCCGGUGAGGGAAG
Non-coding RNA from Colletotrichum liriopes, 68 nucleotides. The record is from the annotation of a GenBank genome assembly. NCBI's taxonomy places the organism in Eukaryota, Fungi, Ascomycota, Sordariomycetes, Glomerellales, Glomerellaceae.